GACGAACGCUGGCGGCGUGCUUAACACAUGCAAGUCGAACGGAGUGCCCGUGAUAGAGGUUUCGGCCAAUUGAAUGGGUUACUUAGUGGCGGACUGGUGAGUAACGCGUGAGGAACCUGCCUUUCAGAGGGGACGAACAGUUGGAACGAACUGCUAGUACCGCAUGACGCAUGACCGGGGCGAUCCCGGAUAUGCCAAAGAAUUUAUUCGCUGAAAGAUGGCCUCGCGUCUGAUUAGAUAGUUGGCGGGGUAACGGCCCACCAAGUCGACGAUCAGUAGCCGGACUGAGAGGUUGACCGGCCACAUUGGGACUGAGAUACGGCCCAGACUCCUACGGGAGGCAGCAGUGGGGAAUAUUGGGCAAUGGACGCAAGUCUGACCCAGCAACGCCGCGUGAAGGAAGAAGG
This 407-nucleotide ribosomal RNA is filed under the name uncultured bacterium. RNAcentral's name for it is "bacterial SSU rRNA". It matches the Rfam family "Bacterial small subunit ribosomal RNA", at positions 28 to 414 of the family's 1533-position model. The record is from RNAcentral.